CAACCCCUCUUUCCCACCGCGUCAUUAGUCCCGAAGCAGUUGUUAUUGGAGUGUGUUGCAGUGUUCAAAUUGUGGUUGUGAGUAGCUGUUUCCAAGUAGGUUUCUGAAAUUCGUCCAUGUGGUGAUUUGCUUCCGGAAAAGAGCAAGCAAGUGGGGAAUCCGACUGGGUCAGAAGGUGCCAGAGAUAGAAGCCCUUUUUGGUUUGUAAAUGUUUAGAUUAAAUUAAGUUCUUGUAUAUAUAAAAUUAAUUAAUAAAAUAAUUGAUUUUUUUUGUGAAUAUUGACUUCUUGUCCCAAAUGUACCCGGUACUAAUUUGUUUUAACUUUACAUGUGAGCAAGAGGGUCCUGAACAAGGUGGUCACCCUACCAUGUUGAUUGAGAACUGUAUUUUGUUUCCCUUAUGUUUGUCGAAUGCACCAAGGUUGUAGCUGCUCUAAAUUCUGCACUGCUUGCAUAUGAGGAGUUCGUGGGUUCUCGUCUUUGCUGGAAAAAUGGCAAUUAGGAUGAGCUGCCUCGACAAAAUGGUUCCAAAUGGUAUUGACAAGUUCAGUCGACAGCUUGGCCAAUACCAUCAAAACUAUUUGCAGCUCGAAAAACACAGCUAACCCGACCUUUUCAAGGAAGGAGACGCGGUGUUCAGAAUACUCCCCAUUUCAAUAACCAUUUAAUCUUAUCAUACUGGCUGGCGAAGUAUAAGAAACUGAUGCCAACAGCGGUAUCCACUUUUGUUGUCCUGUGUACAUCAUUUUGGCGGAGAGUGGAUGAGCUAUUUGCCUUCCAUCGAGAUCGUUAUUUAUUCCAAACCAUUAGCAAAUUCAAGAUUCCACUAUCUCUAGCGACUACAAUGUGGAAAAACUUUCCCUUGGUAAAAUAUGCAGCAAACACUUCAACCGUAAGAACGAUAUCUUUUGAAGAUAGGGUUGAAUGUUGGCCAAACGGAGUCCUGCUGGCUCAGCUGCAUAUCAGACAAGAAGAAAUAUAGCUGAACUUGUCUUUAGAGCCUUAUAUCAUGCGGUGCCAGCCAUUCUCAUUAUGAUUAUUGGAAUGUUUACCUACCCCCUUGCGUUUUUUAUCGAAGCUACAGGAAUAAUUCGUCUUAGCGCCUUAAAACAACCAUUUCUUGACAACUAAAACGUGGUCGGCAUUUGUUGGGGCAAACUCGUCGUUGAACGUCGUUAUGUGGUGUUUCUUCAGUCUUCGAUCCUUGGUCAACAAAGCAGAUUCUUGGUGGCGACGCCGAGUGGAGUGCGGAACACAAGGUUACGUUCACUUUUGGUUUUGGAUGCGCUGUAAAAUGUUUUAGGUUGGCGUUUCUUUAAUUAUUUGAAUUACAUAGGCAUAAAAUCAAUAAUAAAUGCCCAUAUGGAAGAUUUUGCAGAUCAACAUGCAAGAAAGAAAAAAGAAAUGAGUCCCAUAUUCGCGCUCCAUAUUCCAAAAAUUUCGUUGUUUGCCUAAAUUUCAGAAAAUGUAAUUCUAACCAAAAUCACUACAACUACAAGACAAAGUCCACUUAUCAAAUCUUGUCAAAUUGUAUUUAUUAUUGGUGAGUAUGCCGAACUUGCGCUACUAGUCGUUUUAAGCAGAAACGCUGUAUCGACAAUACUAAAGAAGAAAAACACAAACAGAAAGGUGGGGGCUACCAAUGACCGAACGUAGCAUUAAAUAAUAAAUUCAAUUCAAUUUGGUUUACGCUAGGUACAUUCAUAUUGGUACAAUUUGCUUAAAAAUAAAUUAUAUCUGCUGAAACAAGAUAUGAGGAGCCAAGGAAACACAAGAAUGAUGAAGAUUAAAGUAAUUUUCGAAACAUUUAUUCAAUUCAGCAAAUAUUCGCAGUAAGUAAAGUAUUGAGAUUGUAUUUGUAAGUUUUAAAGUAUAGAGAACUGUGAUUGGAGCCCAGGAAAUUUUGUUCACUAAAUUCAAACGAGUAAAUGUUGUGGGGUUUGUUUAACAGACAGAGAGUUUUUGAUUUGGCUCUUUGGAUAUUACUUGUCUAUUGUCGAAACUAUCACGGCGUUUGAAAGGGAGAUCUCGUGUCGCAAAGAAGAAUUUAGUGGUAUUCCUCCUAAAUUUUCCAUCGAGAUACUAAGUUUUUGUUCCAGAUUUGAAGAUAGCAACAAGAUAAGAAAAAUGUCCUUUAAAAAUAUGUAUAAAAAAAUUAAGCUCAGAAGAUUGAGAUUUUCUGCAUCACUAAGUAACAUUCCAGGGAAUCUAGUUAUUGCGAAAAGCAGAAGUUUUUCUCUAUUGGGAUAAAAAAACCGAGUGGCCCUUUCGUUAAUAACGUAUUAAAUUGUUCUUGGACAUCGUUUUUAAGAUUAUUUUCGUAGGAUGAUUCAACCACUGCCGAGCGAAAGAAUAUUGCAUACUCCCCCAGUCAGGGUUACUAACCAUAUAAAUAAAAUUAUCCAGCCUUUGGAAUGUUAUUUGUGAUAUUUUUUAUGGACUGAAGAUACUAAAUGCAAGUAGAUACAAACAACAGCGGGUCUCUGUUUAUUAUGGGCACACGAGGUUCUUGUCCAGGACUGAAUAAAAUGGUUAUUAUUUUCGUACCAAGUAAAAAUGUAAGUGUGGGGAUGUUAAAUUUAUAAACAUCCCAUUUGCUCCUGGUAUAAUGAAGUUAAUAUUGCAAGUAAUCUUUUUAUAGGCUAAUGCAUACUUCGUAUUUGAAUUUAAUAUUUGACACACUCAACAAAAAGUUCUACUUCAUUAUUGCCACACACAUAUUCAACAAGACUGUUUUGUGUACGAAUGAUUUUUAAAGCUGCCGAUUAACCUGUUCUGUCUGUGGGUGGGAUAUUGUCUGUUCUAGAUUUAGCUUUUUAAUUGUAACACUGAGACUAAUCACCCGGUACAUGGGACUGUAAAUUUAUCAAAUAGACGUUUCGUGCAAACAGUUCUGACAAUUUAGCAAAUGAAUCAAAAUCAGAGCAGCAAACAUUUCGUUUUUUAGAGUUUAAUUUGCUGCUAAAACAUGCAGAUAAUCAGGAAAAGAAUGCCAGCAUCUCAAGAACACGUUUUGAUACAAUAAAAUCAAGAGUCCGGACGGAUCGACUUCAAUGACAUUUCUUGCAGUAUUUAUAAAAUUAUAGACUAUACAGCAUUUUUUGUUUGUUCAUGUACACCGAAGUAAUAACAAUUGUGGAAAGAAAAAGUACGUUCGAGGCACUUGCAUAGAUUUUAUUGCUGAUAAUUUAUCUUAACUUGGAGUUUCUUUUGGAUCUGAAUUUACUAAAGCGCAAAAAAGUACAAAAGGAAGAGUUUUUGCCAUGUUGAGCAGCAAGUAAUGGAAAAUUCGCUUUGGCGCAGACACUAAGAUCUUGUGUUUUAGAAUGUUUAAAGCAACAGCUAGGAAACACUGAACAAACCCGCAUCGUUGUUGUAUUCUUGUUUCACGCCAGUUCCCGAUGAGAGUUUUUUUAUUUGGACACGAACGUGUGCUCUACUUCCUAUGGAUUUAGAACUGCAUGCGGGUUGGAUUUCCCAAAACCGCUUCAUAAAACUAAUUUACAAAUUUGUUUUGAAUAUGCGGUUAAAAAAUUUAUUUAAGGUAUAGGUACAAAAUGUGUGGACCAUUUGUGUGCGUCGUAGAAUAAUUGGUCUGCAGUGUGACGGAGACGCCAAUUUGACCUAUUUAUUGAGCAAGGCGGGCACAUCAUCUGGGUGGGUACUUAUUGUGUGUCUCACUGCACACAGCAGAACUUUUAUUAAACCUCGCUUGCCAGCGCGACGAUUGGAAAGGUUUUGAGUAAGAUAUUUAGGAUAGUUCUCAAUCUUUUGGCUAGACCAACCCACCAAAGCAAAAAGUUAAAGAUAUCGUAUCAUGAAAGUCAAGUACAUCAGGAGGUAUGUUUUUUUCCAAAUUGCAUGAUUGUACAUAUAGCACAAAUUUCAGCAUGGAACCAUAUUGCAACAACAUUUGAAUUAUACAAAUAGCGGCUGCUGAAAAAAAUUAUUCCAUAUGGAACCCUCUAUUAAAAUUGCUUGAUACCUAUAAUAUUAAAUAAAUAAAUCGGCAUUAUAAAAUAUUUAAAUAGCAUCUGUAACGGCUACAGCAUUGAUAUUGAAUAAAUUUUGAAAAUACACUCGUACAAUUCGGAAGAAGCUCACCAACCCAACAAGGAGGACAGCGGCAGUUUCAGGAAAGAGAAGCAAGUAUGAACAAACGACAGUGUGAGAAGAAGCGGGGCAAAUUUGACGAAAAGAAAAGCAAAAAUCACCGACGAGGCAACUUGGGGACAAGAGAUAGCCAAUGUUGCAGCUUCCAACUGACUGCACAACACAGAGGCGACUGAUGAAUCAAAUCAGUUUAUGAUCGGGACUUUGGAACGCAGAGGUUUACUAAAAGAAAAUUACGGUGGCUGCAGCAAGAGAGGCAAAAAGGACCACAAACGAGCCAACUCAGUAGAAAACAAUAUCACCGGUGUUGCAGCUUGAAUAAGACGGCACUACUUUGAACAACUUCUACAGAAAGAAAAUUCAAUAAAAGUUUCCGAUGAAGAGGACAAGCGAGGCCAUCCUACAGAUUAAGAAGGCUACAUAACAGAAGAUAAAAAGUAGGUACGAAAAGAAAACUAUUCAGCGACAGGAAACCACUGAACAGCAGUUGAAGAUGAAGAGGAGCAACGGGGAAAAUCAAAAGAAGAAGAGGUCAUCAAAACGAAUUAAGUAAUUACAAAUUGCGGAGCUCCGGCGUGCAGCGUGCACUUUUGACAGCAGUUUGCAGAAAGAAGUGUGGCAACUCAGGAGAAGAGGAAGCGAUCAUCAAAAUUGUUCCCCCCAACAGCACGGCACCUCCUUUGUCGGCAUUUACGGAAAGAAGAAGACAUUUUCAGGUGAAAAGGACCAGCGAGGCAAUCCUGGAGAUCACCAAUGAUAGGAAAGAUGGCUACCGAACAGAAGACCGACGAAAAGAAAUUAUUGAGUGACAGAAAAGCUACUGAGCCGCAGCAGAAGAUCAAGAGGAGCAUCGGGACAAAUGGGGAGAGAAAAAGAUCAUCAAGACGAAUUAAGAGAUCAGAAAUUGUGUAGCUCCGGCGUGCAGGGCAACCACCUUUGACAGCAGUUUGCGCACACAAGACUCAAGAACGGUUUCAGAUGGGGGCGACCGAUUAGGCAAAUCAGGAGAAACUCAAAAAGGGAACGAAUUGAUCGGAGACCAUCGACAUGGUGAUUUUGGUCGGGACCAACGAAAAGAAGACUAUUGACUAAGAUCAAAACGAAUUAAGAAAUUACAAAUUGUGGAUCUCCGGCGCGCAGCGUGCACUUUUGACAGCAGUUUGCAAAAAGAAAUGUGGCAACUCGGGAGAAGAGGUAGAGAUCAUCAAAGUUGGUCCCCCAACAGCACGGCACCUCCUUUGUCGGCAUUUACGGAAAGAAGACGACAUUUUCAGGUGAAGAGGACUAGUGAGGCAAUCCUGGAGCUCACUGAGAUGAAAGAAGGCUACUGAAUAGAACAACUGAGCAACAGCUGAAGAUAAAGAGGAGUAGCGGGACAAUUGAAAAGACUGCGCAAAGAAGACUUAAGAACGGUUUCAGAUGGGGGCGAUCGACUAGGCAAAUCAGGAGAAACUCACCAAGAGAAUGAAUUGAACGGAGACCAUCGACACGGUGAUUGGAUCGCGACGUAAGCAACUUCAGAAAAGGAGAUUCAACAACAGUUCAGAUGGAGACGACCUAUGAGUCUAAUCAGAAGGUCACCCGGACGAAUAAAGAGAAGAUUGGCAAUUUUGGAACGUGAUGAUGAUGACGGCCAGGGCUUGAAACCAAUACAACAAGGAGGCAACUCUGGAAAAGAGAUAAUCACGAACGUGGCAGAAGACCAACGUCUUUUGGCAGCAUUUACGGAAAAGAAACUAUUCAAUACUAGAUACAGAAAAUAACGGCCAGAAGAAGAAAAGAUCUUCAGUUUUGUAGCUCCGACAGGAUGGCACCUCCUUUCGCAGCAUUUACGGAAAGAAGACUAUUUAAGACAUUUUCAGGUGAAGAAGACUACCGAGGCAUUCCUGGAGAUCACCAAUGAUUGGAAACAGGGCUACCGCACAGAAGACCGACGAAAAGAAACCAUUGAGCCACAGAAAAGCUACUGAGCAGCAGCAAAAAAUAAAGAGGAGCAUCGGGACAAAUCGGCCGAAAAAAGAUCAUCAAGGCGAAUUAAGAGAUCAGAAAUUGUGUAGCUCCGGAGUGCAGGGCAACCACCUUUGACAGCAGUUUGCGCAAACAAGACUCGAGAACGGUUUGAGAUGGGGGCGACCGACUAGGCAAUCAGGAGAAACUCACCAAGGGAACGAAUUGAUCGGAGACCAUCGACAUGGUGAUUUGGUCGGGACGUAUGCAACUUCAGAAAAGGAGAUUCAACAACAGUUCAGAUGGAGACGGCCAACGAGUCUAAUCAGAACAUCACCAGGACGAAUAAAGAGAAGAUGGGCAAUUUCGGAACGUGAUGAUGAUGACGGCCAGGGUUUGAAACCAAUACAACAAGGAGGCAACUCUGGAAAAGAGAUAAUCGCGAACGUGGCAGAACAGCAACGUCUUUUGGCAGCAUUUACGGAAAAGAAACUAUUCAAUACUAGGUUCAGAAAAUAUCAACCAGAAGAAGAAAAGAUCUUCAGUUUUGUAGCUCCGACAGGAUGCCACCUCCUUUGGCAGCAUUUACGGAAAGAAGACUAGUUAGCGACAUUUUCAGGUGAAGAGGACUACCGAGGCAUUUCUGGAGAUCACCCACGAUUGGAAACAGGGCUACCGAACAGAAGACCGACGAAAAGAAACUAUUGAGCGACAGAAAAGCUACUGAGCGGCAGCAAAAAAUAAAGAGGAGCAUCGGGACAAAUCGGCCGAAAAAAGAUCAUCAAGGCGAAUUAAGAGAUCAGAAAUUAUGUAGCUCCGGCGUGCAGCGCAACCACCUUUGACAGCAGUUUGCACAAACAAGACUCGAGAACGGUUUCAGAUGGGGACAACCGACUAGGCAAAUCAUGAGAAACUCACCAAGGGAACGAAUGGAUCGGAGACAUAAUGACUUAAUCGCAACAGGAGCAGCUUACAAAAAAAAAGACCAACAACAGUUCAAAUGGAGACCACCGACGAGGCUAAUCAGGAGAUCGCCGGGACGAAUAAAGAGAAGAUCGGCCAUUUUGGAACGUAACGAUGAUGACGCCCAGAGUUUGAAACCAGUCCACCAAGGAGGCAUCUCUGGGAAGGAGAUAAUCGCGAACGCGACAGAACAGCAACAUCUUUUGGCAGCAUUUACGGAAAAGAAACUAUUCAAUUACUAGUUUCAGAAAAUAACGACCAGAAGAAGAAAAGAUGGCAACAACAUCGCGAACGUGACAGAACAACAACCUCCUUUGGUAGCAUUUACGAAAAGGAAAACUUGGCAAUAAUAGCGUCAGAAAACAAUGACCAGGAGAAGAGAAAAUCAUCAAUUUUGUAGCGCCGACAGGAUGCCACCUCCUUUCGCAGCAUUUACGGAAAGAAGACUAACGACUUUUUCAGUUGAAGAGGACCAGCGCGGCAAUCCUGGGAAUUACCAACGAGAAGAAAGGCUACCGAACAGAAGAUAAAAACGAACGACGAAAAGAAGACUAGCAGCAGCUGAAGAUCCAGAGGAGCAUCGGGACAUAUCGGGAGAAAAAAAAUCGUCAAGGCGAAUUAAGAGAGCAGAAAUUCUAUGCCUCCGGCGCGCAGGCAACCACCUUUGACGGCAUUUUGCGCAAACAAGACUCGAGAACGGGUUCAUUUUCAGGUGAAAGAGGAGGAGCAGCGAGGCAAUCGUAGAGGUCAGCAACAAGAGGAAAGAAGGCUACUAAACAAGAUGAAAAGGACCAACGAAAAGAAAACUAUUGAGUGACAGAAAGCCACCGCACAGCAGUUGAAAAUGAGGGGCAGCGGGGAAAAUCGAGAGAAAAGAUCAAAACGAAUUAAGAAAUUACAAAUUGUGGAUCUCCGGCGCCCAGCGUGCACUUUUGACAGCAGUUUGCAAAAAGAAAUGUGGCAACUCGGGAGAAGAGGUAGAGAUCAUCAAAAUUGUUCCCCCCAACAGCACGGCACCUCCUUUGUCGGCAUUUACGGAAAGAAGACGACAUUUUCAGGUGAAGAGGACCAGUGAGGCAAUCCUGGAGCUCACUGAGAUGAAAGAAGGCUACUGAAUAGAACAACUGAGCAACAGCUGAAGAUAAAGAGGAGUAGCGGGACAAUUGAAAAGACUGCGCAAAGAAGAUUUAAGAACGGUUUCAGAUGGGGGCGAUCGACUAGGCAAAUUAGUUGAAACUCACCAAGAAAAUGAUUUGAACGGAGACCAUCGACACGGUGAUUGGAUCGCGACGUAAGCAACUUCAGAAAAGGAGAUUCAACGACAGUUCAGAUGGAAACGACCGACGAGUCUAAUCAGAAGAUCACUGGGACGAAUAAAGAGAAGGUCGCCAAUUUUGGAACGUGAUGGUAUGGAAUUACCUUUGACAGAAGUAUAUUAAAAAAAUUUAUUUACUUUUUCUUUUACUUAAUAAUUAUAAUUAAUGAUUUUUUUUUAAAUUGCUCAACCACAGCCAGAGUUUGAAACCAAUUCAACAAGAAGGCAACUCUGGGAAAGAGAUAAUCGCGAACGUGACAGAACAGCAACGUAUUUUGGCAGCAUUUACGGAAAAAAGACUAUUUAACGACAUUUUCAGGCGAAGAGGACUACCGAGGCAUUCCUGGAGAUCACCAAUGAUAGGAAAGAUGGCUACCGAACAGAAGACCGACGAAAAGAAACUAGUGAGCGACAGAAAAACUGCUGAGCAACAGUAGAAGUUCAAGAGGAGCAUCGGGACAAAUGGGCCGAAAAAAGAUCAUCAAGGCGAAUUAAAAGAUCAGAAAGAAAUUGUGUAGCUCCGGCGUGCAGGGCAACCACCUUUGACAGCAGUUUGCACAAACAAGACUCGAGAAUGGUUUCAGAUGGGGGCGACCGACUAGGCAAAUCAGGAGAAACUGAGCAAGGGAACGAAUGGAUCUGAUCGCAACAGAAGCAGCUUACAAAAAGGAGACUCAGCAGUUAAGAUGGAGACCACCGACGAGGCUCAUCAGGAGAUCACCGGGACGAAUAAAGAGAAGAACGGCAAUUUUGGAAUGUGAUGAUGAUGACGACCAGAGUUCGAAACCAGUACACUAAGGAGACAACUCUGGGAAAGACAUAAUCGCGCACGUGACAAAACAGGAACCUCUUUUGGCAGCAUUUACGGAAAGGAAACUGUUCAAUAAUAGUUUCAGAAAACAACGACAGAAGAGAAGAUCGUCAAUGUGAUAAUUUCAACAGGAUGGCACACCUCCUUCGCGAGGAUUUACGGAAAGAAGACUAUUUAACAACAUUUUCAGAUGAAGAGGACCAGUGAGGCAAUCCUGAAGAUCACAAACGAGAGGAAAGAAAGCUACCGAAUUGAAGAUAAGUUCCGACGGAAAGAAGACUAUUAAGCUAUAGAAAAGCUACUGAGCCGCAGCUGAAGAUCAAGAGAAGGGUCGGAACAAAUAGGGAAAAGAGAAGAUCAUUAAGACGAAUUAAGAGAUCAUAAAUUGUAUAGCUGCAACGCAACCACCUUUGACAGCAGCAAAGAAGACUCACGGACGGUUUCAGAUCGGGGCGACCGACAAAUCAGGAGAAACUCACCAAGGGAAUGAAUUGAUCGGAGACCAACGACAUGGUAGCUAAGUCGGGACAGGAGCAACUUGCAAAAAGGAGAUUCAGCAACAGUUCAGAUGGAGACGACUGAAGAGUUAAAUCCGAAUAUCACCCGGACGAGUAAAUAAUGGAAUAUGAUGGUAUGAAAUUACUUUUGACAGAAGUUUGUUACAAAUUUUUAUUUAAUUCGUCUUUUAUUUGAAGAUGACUACGAUAUUUUAAAACCAGAUCACCAGCGAGGCACCUCUGGCAACAACAUAAUCGCGAACGUGACGGAACAACAACCUCCUUUGGUAGCAUUUACGAAAAGGAAAACUAUUCAAUAAUAGCUUCAGAAAACAAUGACCAGGAGAAGAGAGAAUCAUCAAUGUUGUAGCUCCGACAGGACCGCACCUCCUUUGACUGCAUUUAAGGAAAGAAGACUAUUUAACGACAUUUUCAGGUGAAAGAGGACCAGCGAGGCAAGAGGAAAGAAGGCUACUAAAGAUGAAAAGGACCAACAAAAAGAAGACUAUUGAGCGACAGAAAAUUACUGAGCAGCAGCUGAAGAUCCAGAGGGGAGCAGCGGGACAAAUCGGGAAAGGAAAAGAUCAUCAAGACGAAUUAAGAGAUCAUAAAUUGUAGUAGUUUAUGCAAAGAAGGAGCAAGACCGGUUUCAGAUGGAGACAACCGACUCGGAAACUCGCCAACGGAACGAAUUGAUUGGAGACUAUCGACUUGGUGGCUUGAUCAGGCUUACAAAACGGACGCUCAACAGUUCAGAUGGAGAUGACCGACGAAUUACGAGAAUAUCGGCAAUUUUGGAAUGUGAUGAUGAGAACGGCCAGAAUUUAAAAUCAGAUCGUCAGCGAGACAAUUUUGGGAAAGAGAUGAUCACAAUCAGGAACCUCCUUUGACAGCAUUUACGGAGAGAAGAUUAUUCAACGAAAUUUUCACGUGAGAGGAGUAGCGAUGCAAUCCAAAUCCGGGCAGUACAAAUCUGAAGAUUUAGAUCACCAAGAAGAGAAAUUAAGAUAUCUCCAAUUUUGAAUCUUGGAUAGGACUAAAAAAAAUCAUCACCUUUGCUGGCAAUUCGCGAAAAAAAAAGGCUCUGGUCAAGAUAACCGGACAGGCGUCUUAGGAGAAGAGAUCACCAAUGUUGCAGCUUCGACCUGAAGACACGGCAUGGAGACCACCGCCGAAUGAAAUCAGUAGAUCACCGGUACAAAUUAAAAGAAAUCAGAUUACCAACGAGGCAACUUUUGAGAAAGAAAUAUCACCAGUAUUGCAACUCUGAUAGAAUGGCACGAAAGCUAUUUAAUGACAGUUCCAGGCAAAGAGAACUAGCGAGACAAUAGACUUCACCAAAGGGGAAAGAAGGGAGGCUACUGUGCAGAAGAUGAAUAGGAUCAACGAAAAGAAGACCGACUAUUCAACGACAUUUUCAGAUGAAGACUACCAAUAUUGCAAUCUAGUUCACCAACGAGAAAAAAGAAGGUUACUAAACGGAAAAAAAUCACCACCUUUGGCGGGAAAUUAAUUGAAAAAGGACUAUCCAAAAUGACUCGUUAGAUGAGAUCACAAACGUUGCAGCUUCGACCUGACGGACGAAUUAAGUCAGUUAAUCAUUGAAACGAACUAAGCUGAGAUCACCAAUUUUGGAAAGCGGAUGAUACAACAUAUAUGACGGGAGUUGUGUACUGAAUAAAAUGGAAGAAAAUUGUUCAACAACAGUUUCAGAGUAUGACAGCUGGAAAGGCAAAAGAAAUCACAAAUGAGAGUUUUAUAGUUGGCAGUUGGGAUAGGACGGCACCAACAUUGACAGAAUUUUACAGCAACAAGACUAUUCCAUGACAGUUUCAGGCGAAGAGAACCCGCGUGACAAUCGAGGAGACCACCUACGAAAGGAAAGAAGACUACCACUGAACAGGAGAUGAACAAGACCAACGAGCUGCAGUUUCAGAUAAAGUUACCCUAAGCUAAGCAAUCCAUGAGAACAUGCACUUAACAACGGAACAGAUUGGCCGGAGAUCAUCGACAAGGCAGCUUGGUUGGGAGAGAAGCAGUUCAUAGAAAGGUUAUUCAACAACAGUUAAGAUGGAGACGACCGACAAGUCAAAUCAAAAGAUCAUCGGGAUGAAUUAAGAAAAUAUCAUCAAAUUUGGAAGAAGAUUAUAUGAAAUUACCUUUGAUAGCAGUUUAUUCAAAGACAAUUGCGCAACAACGUUUAUCAGAUGAUGACGACCCUAGUUUAAAAUCAGGUCGCCAAUGCGAGGAAACGUUACUUUUCAACAAUAGAAGAAGACGCGCGAUGCAUAUCUGAAGAUUUAGAACAUGAAGGAUACAAAUUAAAAUGUCUCCAAUUUUGAAUCAUGGACCGAACUUGGCCCCCCCUCUGCUCUGGUGGUUCACAACAAAAAGUACUGUCAAUCACAUUCUCCGGUGAAUACAACUGAUAAAUCGAAAGACGAAUAUUGUAGUUUUGACAUGACGCCACGACACAAGGCACCAACGAAUAAAAUCGGUCGAUCAACAGAAUCAAUUAAGAAUUUACCAAUUUGGGAACCUUUCACAGCAGUCUAAUAUAUCAUGGGAGCCAAAUCAGAUUAUCAAGAAGGCAACAUCAGUAUCAGGUGGAGAGAGUCAGCGAGAUAAUCCAGGACAUCACAGACAAAAGGAAAUAAGGCGGCUACUGUAUAGAAUAUGAGGAGGAUCAACAAAAAGAUGAUUGUUCAAUCACAGUUUAAGAUGAAGACUACCAGCAAUGCAAUCCAGAAGAUCACCAAUGAGUGGAAAGAAGCCUACUGUACCAAAGAUAGAGUAUCGAGGGAAAGAAGACUAUUCAACGACCGCUUCAGAUGAAGACUACCAGCAAGGCAAUCCAGUAGAUCACCAACAAGAGGAAAGAAGACUACAGAACAGCAGUUUAAGGUCAAGAGCAUCAGCGAUGCAAAUCAGGAAAAGAGAUCACAAAUUGUAGAGCUCCGGUGUGCAGGAUGAAAGUGACUGGUCAAACCAGGAAAAACUCAGCAAGAGAACGAAAUGGCCCGAGACAAUUGACAUGCCAGCUUGGUCGGGACAGAUGCAGCUCACAGAAAGGAGACUCCUCAACAGUUCAAAUGAAGAAGACCGACGAGUGAAAUGCGACGAUCACUGGGACGAAUGAAAAAAACUAAACAAAUUUGGAACGGGAUGAGGAUGACGACCAGAGCCCAACAUGACGGGAUAUUUAGCAUCAAUUUUUCAAAACAAGCUAGCAGUUUUAGAAGAGCCAAAGAGGCACCAAUGUGGCAACUCGGUAGAAGAGAUCAUCAAUGUCCUAGCUGUAAUAGGACUCCACGUUCUUUGGCAGCAUUUACGGAAAUUUGACUAUGCAACGACAUUUUCGGACGAAGAGAUUACCAACGAGAAGUUAGUGAACACUAGUGGAAGAUGAUACAGAUGGGAUAUGCAAAUCUGAAGAAGAGCAGUAGUAGAUGAGCAAGAAGACAAAUUAAGACAUGUCCAAUUUUGAAUCUGCUUGCAGUUCACGAAAACAGGAUUAUCAAGAACGUUCUCAGGUGAAGACGAACAGAGAGACUACUCAGGGGAAGAGAUUACCAAUUCUGAGAAGAAAAAAGAAUACUCAAUGGCAGUGGAAAAUAACAGGUGAUAAAAAUCUGUCAAAGAGUAGAUCAUCAAGAACACAAAUUAGGAGAUUGUCAAUUUUGGAUUUUAAGCGGUAUAGAGGGGCAGCUUACAAGCUCUAAGAUUAAUUGAAUAUUGUUGCUUCAGAUAGAGACGGCUAUCGACUCAAAUCAGAUCACUGGGACGAAUUAAGAGAACACCGAUUUUGGUACCUUUGACAGCAGUCUAGUGCGAGAAAACUCCUUCCUCAACAACAGAUAAAGACCACCAAAAGGACAAAUCGUUCACAGCAAAAAAACUAUUAAACAACAGUUGAAGGUGAGCGACAACGAGACGAUCCAGCAGAUCAACGAGAGGAAAGAAGAGAGCAGUUAGAUACCCAGUGAGAGACGAAUAUCGAUAAGAAAAGAUCAUCAACAAAUUGAACAGAGGGCUCACAAGAACGAUUUCAGAUGAAUGCGACUGCGCGUCGAGAAAAUCAGGAUAAACUUACUCACGAGACCAACAUUAACAAGUUUGGAAGAGGCGGGAUCACCUUUAGCAGCAGUUUCCAGAAAAGAGACUGGACCAAUCAGGUAGCUAGAGCUAAGCAGGAGUUUAUAAGAAGAAAAGUAUUAGUCUACUACUAGCUUUAGAAAACAACCCCAAAGCAUCCAGAAGAGAUCAAAUUGCAUCACCAGCAGGGCGUCAACCAUCUUUAACAACGGAUUACAGAAACAAAACUAUUCGGUAUUAGUUUCAAAUAGAUCACUAACGAGAGGGCAGAAUCAAACUGAAGAUGAAAAGACGAAACAAAUCCCGAGAAACUAUAUCAUCAAAAAGGCCAACUAAGAGAUCACUUAAAGAUAAACUUUGGCGAAGACAUCGCUGCAACAGAAAUGGCAGUAAUUAAUUUUUCAAAAUUAUUUAGCCUUAUAACUGUUAGUCUCAACUACCAAUUGUACAAGGUUAACGCAAAAAUUUCGGCCUUACAUAGAUGCAGCUCCAGUAUCACGAUAAAACUUCGUCUUCUUUUAAAUAUAUAUCUUCGUAGGCUGCGAAAAGAAAAUUGAAGUCUUGGAUCAAAUAGUUUUUUAUUGACAGCAUUUUAAACAAGACGUGUCCGAAAAAAUGUCGCAAAUAACGCAAAUUGAGUAUAGAGCAGUCAUAAAGUUUUUGACAAAAGAAGAGUUAGCACCUAAAAUUAUUAAAGAAAGUUCUCCUUCGUAUUCUGUAGUGAAAGAAUGGACAAAACGUUUUCCAAUGGGGCAGGAGAGUCUCUUGAAGAUGAUUCAAGAACUGGUCGACCAGUAGACGUCAUAACGGAAGAUAUUGUUGCCAUUGUGGAAGAGGUGGUAUUGACUGAUCGACGUUUAAAGGUCAAGAAAAUCUCGGAAAUUACUAAGCUUUCUGAUAACAAGUGUUCUUCGAAUCCUGCAUGAUCAUUUAGGUAUGCAUGAGUGCAAGAUGGGUUCCUAAAAACCUUUCGGCUACUCAAAAACAACGCCGUGUCGAGUGUGCGCGGCCUUUUUUGCAACUCUGUGGGUCGGAACCGAAGCGUGUGAUAGAAACUAUUGUUAUGGGAGAUGAAACUAUGGUUCUCUAUUAUGACCCUCUAUCGAAAAAAGAAUCAAUGGAGUAGCGUCGUAAGGGUAAAGCACAUCCAAGAAAAUUCAGAGUCUGCCAGUCAACAAAAAAGGUGGUGGCCGCGAUCUUUUGGGAUUGUGAAGGAAUUCUUUUGAUAGAUUUUAAAGAAACUAAUACCACUAUCAAUGGUAAAUAUUACGCAACAUUAUUACAUAAAUUGCGAGACUGCGUACGAGGAAAACUGUCCAUACUGCUGGUGUUGGACAAGCUGCCAUUUUAGAGUAUGGGUUCCAACAUCUUUCCUAUACUCCAGAUAUGGCCCCCAGCGACUAUUGUUUGGAUAUUUUUAAAAGGACUUGCGUGGACGGCGGUUUAACGACGAAGUUGAGUUAAAAGAGGCUGUUUUAGCUCACUUUGCAGACAGGAAAAAAAUGUUUUUUGAAGGGAUUGAGUUGUUAAUAAAGAGAUGUAAUAAGUGUAUUGAAAAUUAAUAAAAAAUUGUUACUCUACUUUGUUUCUUUCUGUAGUCUUUAUGAAAUAAAUACUACUUGUUUUUAAUACAUUUAAUAGUUCGAUCUAAACAUUACAUGCACGGCGAAGAGAAGAGUUGUACCGUUACAUUCAAAGCUUUUUAGUAACUGAAUGACCCAAGCCUAACUUUGUCCUUUCGUGGGACUCUAAAAGUAAUAUAAGACUAAUAGUGUUUACAAUAUGGGAACACGGGGUUGAGUCCCCGAUAAAGGACGCCUCGACCUAUUUGUGGGAAUCUUCUUUUUCCAAUAUGAAGUUUAUUAAGAAUAAAUAUCGCAAUCGACUUACAGAUGAACAUUUGGAUAAUUGUAUUGGAACGGCUGUACCAAAUUUUACUGCAACCAUUAAAAAAAUUAUCGAUGAGUCUGACUGUCGGCCUUCUCAUUGAACGUGCUUUUUUAUUUCUCAAUGUUUAUGUUCAUGAUAGUACGUUACUUUUUGUUGUUAUUAUUAACUAUUUUUAAAUCUUACGUGACAUGCCGUUGUGACUGGAUAAAAAUUUGUGUUUAUUUUUAAAACACCUGUUCGGUUAUCUUUUGAACGGAUUAUCAUUGAACAUACAAUGCAACAAGAUUAUUGUUAUUAAUUAAGGUAAUAAUCUUGUUGCAUUGUAUGUUAAUGACCCCCCUUGGAUAAUCCUUUCAAAAUCAAUUUGUCACUUUCAUAUAUCUAUGAACAGACCAUAGGAAUGUAGCUAUGAACAAGUACGUACUAGUAAUAUUAGUUAUUUUGUUAUUAGUUUAUUAUUAGUACCUAUGUAUUAUGUGUUACCAAUUCAAGUUAAAUAGUAAAAUAAAUACUAUAAUGAUAAAUUAACUGUGGAUUAUUUCAUUUACGUUGCGUUACGUGGCUUCCGUGUGGGUAGCUCACUGUUUAUUGCAAAAUUAACAAAGUAGCUCAACACAUUGAAGAGGUUGGCGACCACUGGUCUAACGAAACAAAUCCCGAGAAAACUAUAUCAUCAACAACGCCAAUAAACAGAUCACUUGAAGAUGAAAAGGUCGAACGAAACAAAUCCCAAGAAGACUAUACCAACAAACAGGCCAAUUAAAAGAUACCCGAUUUAAAAUCUUGUGCGGGACGUGACAGGAACCCCUAUCGCCUUUGACAUCAGUUCACGAAACGAAGACUUUUAUGAAGACUAUCAUAGAGGACAGAAAGAAAAAA
This is a long non-coding RNA of Cylas formicarius (sweet potato weevil), 16510 nucleotides long. RefSeq lists it as uncharacterized. The record is from RefSeq and is a predicted model, not a curated record. The transcript is spliced from 13 exons. NCBI's taxonomy places the organism in Eukaryota, Metazoa, Arthropoda, Insecta, Coleoptera, Brentidae.